UACGUAGGGGGCAAGCGUUAUCCGGAUUUACUGGGUGUAAAGGGAGCGUAGACGGCGAUGCAAGCCAGAUGUGAAAUCCCGCGGCUCAACCGCGGAACUGCAUUUGAAACUGUGCUUCUUGAGUGCUGGAGAGGCAGACGGAAUUCCUAGUGUAGCGGUGAAAUGCGUAGAUAUUAGGAGGAACACCAGUGGCGAAGGCGGUCUGCUGGACAGUAACUGACGGUGAGGCGCGAAAGCGUGGGGAGCAAACAGG
This 253-nucleotide ribosomal RNA is filed under the name uncultured Oscillospiraceae bacterium. Its description in RNAcentral is "partial 16S ribosomal RNA". It matches the Rfam family "Bacterial small subunit ribosomal RNA", at positions 524 to 776 of the family's 1533-position model. Lineage: Bacteria; Bacillati; Bacillota; Clostridia; Eubacteriales; Oscillospiraceae. The record is from RNAcentral.